RNAcentral lists this ribosomal RNA (253 nucleotides) under uncultured bacterium. Its description in RNAcentral is "partial 16S ribosomal RNA". It matches the Rfam family "Bacterial small subunit ribosomal RNA", at positions 524 to 776 of the family's 1533-position model. The record is from RNAcentral.
UACGUAGGGCGCAAGCGUUGUCCGGAAUUAUUGGGCGUAAAGAGCUCGUAGGUGGCUUGUCACGUCGGGUGUGAAAGCUUGGGGCUUAACUCCAGGUCUGCAUUCGAUACGGGCUGGCUAGAGGUAGGUAGGGGAGAACGGAAUUCCUGGUGUAGCGGUGAAAUGCGCAGAUAUCAGGAGGAACACCGGUGGCGAAGGCGGUUCUCUGGGCAUGACCUGACGCUGAGGAGCGAAAGUGUGGGGAGCGAACAGG